RNAcentral lists this long non-coding RNA (557 nucleotides) under Gadus morhua (Atlantic cod). Its description in RNAcentral is "lncRNA (ENSGMOG00000028262.1)". The record is from RNAcentral. Lineage: Eukaryota; Metazoa; Chordata; Actinopteri; Gadiformes; Gadidae.
GGAAUGACAGCGAUCCCAUGGUCAUAACAAACAAGUUGAUGGAAGUAUUUCCGAAGCUCCAAGAAGGGGGAGGCUUCGAAUUUUUAAAAAUUGCAGGAUCUACACGGAGUCGAAAUCUGGCAUUGCUUCAGUGUCCCAGCACUGGAUACACGCUUGCCUAUCUAAAGGAUCCAGCUUCGAUGAUUGGACAGGCUACAAUCUUCAUUCGUCCGCUUCAACAGGAUCUACCCUUCGAUUGUGAGAGCUCAAGUUCUGCCUCUGGUCCAGUCAUCCCCUGCAUCACCUGUCAGAAGGAGGUUCCCUUUUCAGAGAUGAAGCUGCACAGAUUGAGCUGCAAUGGGACACCCAUGCAGGAAUCAGAGAAAGAACAAGAGGGAGGCCAAAGUGAUAGUGAGACCGUCAGUGACAGUGUUCCAGUGAGGCCUGGAACAUCAGCUGAAAGUGCAGAAGUGCCAGCAGUGAUGGUCAACGAGGAGCUGGAUAGUAAAGAAGCAGACAGCGGUUUGUGUCAUCACGAUAGGGUUGCUAUAACUGAGCAACUGAAACAAAGUCAAUAG